Schistosoma curassoni is the source of this 45-nucleotide non-coding RNA. The record is from Rfam. Lineage: Eukaryota; Metazoa; Platyhelminthes; Trematoda; Strigeidida; Schistosomatidae.
AUCCAGCUGACAAGUCCCGAAUAGGACGAAACGCGCGUCCUGGAU